AGAUAAACCCUGAACUUCAGCACUACUCGUUGUCUACCAAGCAUCUUUGGAUAUCCUAAAGAUUAUGUUGCCAAAUAUUGAGGUGACCAUUUCUAAGCAGUGACCAUCAGUUCCGGAAAGUCCAGCAGGAGGAACAUCUUCUCCGAGUCCUCCUGAGAACAAUUCUCAGGAUUUUAUAUAAUCGAAUCAGCAUGAAAAUGGGAAAAUCAGAUGGAAAUCCUGACUGCUGUUUCUUUUUGGAUUUGGGGUUAAAUGCCCUGUUGUUCCUGAACAAUUCUUUUGGCUUGAAGAUAAGUUCCUGGCGUGCAAUCCCAUUGUUUCACUUAACUGACCUGAAAAAGGUAAAAGAGAUGGUGCAAGAGAGUGAAGCCUAUCCAGAAAGCUUCAAUAAACAACGUUCUACUUAGCAGAUCAGAAUAGUAUGUGGAGGCAAAGGGACCACGAAUGCUUCUGUCAAAGGCUUGACCAGAAACAAGGACUAUCUGUUUCCCCCGCCACAGAUGCUGCCCGACCUGGUGCUUCCUGGCAAGUUCAGUAUUUCCAACACUUUCCGUUACAACUUCCAAAACUGUUUCCUGGAACACCGUGGUCAAUAGGAAUUUCAUGCAUGAGAAGCCAAUGAACUUACAAACCUGCACAUCUUUGGAAUGUGGGAAGAAACCAGAGCACCCGGAGAAAACCCACACGUUCAUAGGAAGAACAUGCAAACGUUAGGCAGAUAGCACCCAUGGUCAGGAUCGAACCCAGGUCUCUGGUGCUGUAAGUGGAUGCCAAAAUCCACUUUCGCAUCCACUCCCUACACACCAGGGGCAAUUUACGGAGGCCAAUAGAGCUACAAACCUGCACGUCUAUGGGAUGUUGGAGAAAACUGGAGCCCCCGGAGAAAAACCCACGCUGUUACAGGGAGAACGUACAAACUCUGCACAGACAGCACCCACAGUCAGGAUGGUAUCCAGGUCUCUGGUGCUGUGAGGCAGUAACUCGACUGUUGUGCCACUAUGCCGCCCUUGAUGUUCAGAAGAAUGAAGGGUAAUCUUAUUGAACCACUUCUAUGGAUGACAGGAUGAACAGAUGGGUCGAUGUUUCCCAUUCAUGGGAGUGCCUCGUACCAGAUGGCAUCGUGUCCAGGUAAGCAUGUGCCCGCUUCAGACUGAGAAUAGAAAGACUACCAUCUCACAAACUUCUGUGAGUCUUUGCAAUUGUUAUUAGCUUUUAUAAUGUGUCCAAUUAUGUAUGCAUGGGAUGUGGAGAGUAUUGGCAAGGCCAGCAUUUGUGAUCCCACAGCAGACUGUUAGCUCAGCAAUUUCAGACAGCAGUUAAAAGUCAAACACACUGCGGUGAGGUUGGAGACUGGGGAAAAUUGGCAAACUUCUUUUCCCUGAAGUACAUCAGUCAGUCAGGCCGGUUUUUAUAAUAACCCGGUAGUCUUGUGGUCGUUGCAGGCUUUCAAUGCCAGAUUUAGUUAAGGUGGAUUUUCCAAUUAAUGGUUUGCAAAUGAGUAAAGAGUUUGAGGACAGGCACAUGUUGACCAGGACGUAUUGAACUGCAUAGGUGCCGACUGAAGGAACACGAUUGUUCUGAUUGUAAACCAUUAUAAGAAAGAUCACCUGAAGACAAGCCAGAGAAGGGCCACCCGGACUGGAAAGUGUUAGCUGUGAGGAAAGCAAGGAUACAAUGGGGUUGGUGCUUUGAAACUGGUCAAAUUGAGGUGUACAAUGUAAGAUAAGGGAGCCCUAUACUAAUUAACAGUGGGAUGAAAAAUGAGCAGCAUAGAUUUGAACACAUUAGCAUGUUGAUUGGUGCAGCACAAGAACAGGCCCUUCGGUACACAAUGUCCAUGCUGAACAUGGUGCCAUGUUAAGCUAAUCUCUGUUUGCUGUCUGCAUGUGACCCAUGCACAGUGACGCAUGAGACACCAUGAUGGUAGAGAUGCUGCCUUACAGCGCUAGAGACCCGGGUUUGAUCCUGACGACAGGUUCUGUCUGCAUGGAGUUUGUAUGUUGGGGGCUGUGUUGGAGCAUUGCCUUGGGGGACAGGCCCAACGGGUCCGCACCCGGUCUAGUAAUAAACAAAAAUACAAUGAGGUAAUGACUGUAAUGCCAGAUAAACAUAACAGUGCAUAACUGAGCUUCAUAGUGCAACCAAAGACACAGUCCAUAGCAAAUCACAGAUGCUGAAAUUAGAGAUUAGUGUUAUGCAGUGUUCAAGAACCUAAUGGUUGCUGGAAAUAAGCCGUAUUUUCAAUUGGAGGUCAUGGUUCUCAGGCUCCUCUUGUACCUCCUACCCGAUGGUAUAGUGAGAUGAGAGCGUAGCCAAGGUGGGUCUCUGAUGAUAUUGGCUGCCUUGCUGAGGCACCGUCUCCGAUAUGCAUAAACCAGGUAACGUCAAUCUAUUUUCCUAUUCUUAUUUGCUAAGAUGGAUAAAUCCCAGGCUCCCCACCUCCUGCCUGCUAACUAGGAACCUACAUCUGCUGAUGGGUUUAGAUAAACAUCUGUUGGUUAACAAUGAGUGGCAGAUUCUCUUCAAAAGAGUGAGACAUCAGUUCAAAAUAUUUAAAAACACAUUCAAGUUAAUCAAAGCCUCCUUUCAAUGGCAAAUCUCAGCUAGAAAUACUUCAGAAGGCAUCAUUUAUGUAGGAAAUAUGUUUUUGUUUCGAUUGAAUUACAUAAUAGGGGAUUAAAUGGAUUGUAUAGCAAAUUACACAAUUUAACUCUUAUUCCGUAACCGGCCUAUCAAAGAUCAAAGCAUAAAAUUACUUGGCAAUCUGUUUAUGCAUUUAUCAGAAUUUAACUGUUUGUAUUUGCAUAUUUAUGAGGAUUAAUUAAUAGUAAAAUCAUGCUGUUGUGCUUAUGUCUAAAUUAGUGCCUCUAAAAUGCAUAAACAUAUAUAACUUUGCAUAAUGUGCCUUUGAAACAUUUUGUUGCGUUAACAUUUGUGUAGUUCAAAUAGAAACAGGUUUGCUCCUUUAGUUAAGCCCCUCCUCGUGUGAAGGAAGUGGGUAGUUCUCAGGCAGUCUAAAUGCAUUGGGCUCUGUCCCGUAUUCUACUGAUGCGUCAACAUCAUCUGUUAAUGGUGAAACUGCUCUUCAAAGUGAACGUUUGAUCUCAAAGCAUCAAACAUCAAACUUCGACCCCUGCCGUCUGGGCCGACCAACAAUCACUCCUAUACUCGUUCUAUGGUAUCCCAGUUUUGCCCCCUACACACUUGGACCAAUUUACAGAAGCCAUUUGACCUACAAAUCUACACAUCUUUGGAAUGUGGGAGGAAACCGGAGCACCUGGAGGAAACCUACACAGUCACAGGGAGAACGUGUAAAGUCCACAUAGAUAGCAUCCAUAGUCACGAUUGAACCCAGGUUUCUGGCGCUGUAAGACAGCAGCUCUACCUUUGUGCCACCAUACCGCCAUUAUAUGGAAUAAGGAGUGGAGGAAAUCCAAGCUGUUUGGAUAGCAUGCAAAACAAGGGGUGUUCCUUGGUGCAGGGGACAAUACUGAACCUAAACCUAAACCUAAACCUAAAACUAGACUGUUUUCCUUUCUAAUUGGCUCUAUUGGGGAAUAAAAUAAUUUGUGACUGUUUUCCUGCAUAUAUCCAAAUGUAAGGCUUGGAAUCGUUUAGAAGGAUAUGGGUCAAAUGUAGAUGGGCAACUGUAAUUCAUGUAGAUGGGCACCUUGGUUGGCAUGGGCAAGCUGGGUUGAAGGACCCGUUUCCUUGCUGUAUGACUAUGAUUCUAAUUGCAUUUAAGCUUGCUGACUCCAUGUUACCACUGAAGCAAAAUGCCUUUAGUUUUAUUGAGAUGCAAGGAACUGCAGAUGCUGGAACCUUCGGUAAAACAUAAAAUGUUGGAGAUUCUCAGCGGGUGAGGCAGCAACUAUGGAGCGAAUAUCUAUAUUGAUAUUCAAUGGCUCUGGAAAUCCAUUGGUCUGGAAAUUCAGUCAUGUCUAGUUGUUUAUUUCUGUCUCUGCAAAUUAAUAUUAGAUUGCAAUUGUGAAUAUUUGAAUAUUUUUAAGGCAGAGGUGUUUGAUAGUUGAUAAGCAAAGAGGUGAAAGGUCACUACAGGCAGAUGGGAAUGUGGAGUGGAGGUUGUAAUCAGAUCCCCAAUCUCUUCAUUAAAUGCACGGUGGUAUAGUGUGAUGUGAUUUGACUGGUUAGCUCACAAUCCAAAUAAAUCACUAACAAAUCAUGGUAAACCUGACAUAAGUAAAACCAAGGCAACUGAACCAUCCUACCAACAACUAGCGAGCAGUGGUAGACAAAAGUGCUGGUGAAACUCAGCGGGUGCAGCAGCAUCUACAGAGCGAAGGAAAUAGGCAACAUUUCGGGCCGAAACCCUUCUUCAGACUAGAGAGCAGUCCUGGGCUCCUAUCUCCCUCAUUGGGGACCGUUGGACUAUCUUUGAUCAGACUUUACUGGAAUUUAUCUUGCACUGACCAUUAUUCAUGUUAUCCCCUUUAUCAUGUAUCUGUACACUGUGGAUGGCUCAAUUGUACUCAUGUAUUGUCUUUUCGCUGAUUGGCUAGCACACAACAAAAGCUUUUCACUAUACACUUGACAAUAAACUGAACUAAACAAAUCUCUGAGUGAGUCCGGGACCUAAUGUAUGUUUGUAUACCUGGGCGUGUACAAGCUGUGACUUUGAAUACCCACUACACACUCGUCUGUG
Leucoraja erinaceus (little skate) is the source of this 4663-nucleotide long non-coding RNA. RefSeq lists it as uncharacterized. The record is from RefSeq and is a predicted model, not a curated record. The transcript is spliced from 7 exons. Lineage: Eukaryota; Metazoa; Chordata; Chondrichthyes; Rajiformes; Rajidae.